CCUACGGGCGGCAGCAGUGGGGAAUAUUGCGCAAUGGGGGCAACCCUGACCCAGCAACGCCGCGUGAUUGAAGAAGGCCUUCGGGUUGGAAAGAUCCUUAAUCGGGGACGAAUUGUGACGGUACCCGAAGCAUAUGCUCCGGCGAACUACGUGCGAGCAGCCGCGGUAAUACGUAGGGAGCAAGCGUUAUCCGGAUUUACUGGGUGUAACGGGCGUGUAGGCGGGCAUGCAAGCCAGAAGUGAAAUCUGGGGGCUUAACCCCCAAAUUGCUUUUGGAACUGGGUGUCUUGAGUGAUGGAGAGGCAGGCGGAAUUCGUAGUGUAGCGGUGAAAUGCGUAGAUAUUGCGAGGAACUCCGGUGGCGAAGGCAGCCUGCUGGACAUUAACUGACGCUGAGGCGCGAAAGCGUGGGUAGCAAACAGGAUUAGAUACCCCAGUAGUC
This 441-nucleotide ribosomal RNA is filed under the name uncultured bacterium. RNAcentral describes it as "partial 16S ribosomal RNA". It matches the Rfam family "Bacterial small subunit ribosomal RNA", at positions 338 to 795 of the family's 1533-position model. The record is from RNAcentral.